CAUCACAGAGCAGUGCGCAGGAGUGGUGGAUGGCGCACACCUGGCACCUCCUGUGUUUAUAUUCCAGUGUUCGCGUGUAAUGUGAAGUAAUCUGCAUUCCUUUGACGGUGAACAGCGAGCUUGAGAAUCGGAGAGGCAGGGCAGGACGAGUGGACGGCUGGAUGUCACAAAAACAUAACGACGCUAUGAAAUGUGGAGGCAACCGGACAUUACGAACAGCCAGGUGAACAAAACGCACAAAAUCGCACCUUUCUGCCCGGGCCUGAUCACUGCUAAAGGUGUCCUGAGCCCCGCCAGCCCCGUGACGAGAGCAAAGCAUUUGAGGAUCAGUAGUUGCAAUGGCAGUGAGAGCGAGAGGGAGGGACACAUUCUUCACCGUGACUUUAUGGUGAGAUUAAGCAGUAAUGAUACGCCCCCCUUCUGUCAUCGCUCCUUCAGCCUUCACUCUUGCUGCCCUCUGCCUUCUGCCGCCACCAUUACGUUUUCUUCACUCGGUUUGAUGACAGGCUGGGCAACGGGCACUAAUGUAAAUAUAUGUGAAGGAUUGAUAAUAUUGAUAAAAAUAGAU
Molecule: long non-coding RNA, 568 nt
Organism: Portunus trituberculatus (swimming crab)
Lineage: Eukaryota; Metazoa; Arthropoda; Malacostraca; Decapoda; Portunidae
Exons: 3
Source: RefSeq, a predicted model, not a curated record